UUAUUGAGUGCUUUUAAUUGUUUGAAUUGAUUUUAUUCUUUGUGCCCCCAGUGCCUUAAUAAUAAACAAGUGACAGCUAGUUAAAGUUAAAUUAGUGCAUGUGAAGCAGGGUUUUAAUCACUUUUCCAUAGUCCUGCAUGUCUUGCACUCAUACUGACCUGCUACUCAUCCAUGCUGGCUGUAAAUGAGCAUGCUUUCUGUCCCUGACUACUGCUUGCUGAUCUGUCACUAAUCUUCCCCAAGACUAUCACGGCUCUUUAUAGAGCAGCCAAUUUGGAGCGUGUUCUGGGCCAGGUUGGGGCUAGUGGAUCCCACGCUGAGCUGGGGACCAGGGCUUAGGCAUCUCCCAUUUUACUCUAGAGGUUUUCAUGCAGGGCUCAAUCCUAUGGCUCUGAGAACACUUGGAGCAAUGGCAGCGAUCACUUGCAGCGUUGCAGGCAACAUUCCUCAA
Hyalella azteca is the source of this 451-nucleotide long non-coding RNA. RefSeq lists it as uncharacterized. The transcript is spliced from 3 exons. The record is from RefSeq and is a predicted model, not a curated record. Lineage: Eukaryota; Metazoa; Arthropoda; Malacostraca; Amphipoda; Hyalellidae.